UACUCUAAAUUCCCAGCUGUUACCUCUUGAUCAGGAGCAAAGAUCCAACAUUUCCUUUCAGGUACGCAUAUUUUGAUUACCAAUGAUAAUGAUAAUCUGCUGUGGGGCACAGACAGCAACCGGAAACAUGAACUGGCUAAUUACUGUGGAUUAGACGGUUGGAGCUCUCUCUAGCGGAAAAAAUAUCACUGAGGAAACAGAAAACAACUGAGAAAAAGCCAGGCAAAAUAAAUGCUGAUCUACCAAUUUAUAUCCAAGGAUAGGAGUUACGCACAUAAUCUCCUGUAAUUUGAAGAGAACUUUCUGCUUUUCAUUUCAUUCGUUAAAAGAAUAGAGUCGCAUGCAUGUUAUCUUCCGGAUUCUAAAUUAUGAUGAGUUCAUUAUAUUGCUGCUGAGAAGUAGUUGCCAUUUUGUACUGUAAUGAUCCAAUGUUACUUUUUUGGACUUAUCGACCUGUUAAUUAUCUUUUACCUCUUAAUUAUCUGAAAAAAUAAAA
Molecule: long non-coding RNA, 496 nt
Organism: Pistacia vera
Lineage: Eukaryota; Viridiplantae; Streptophyta; Magnoliopsida; Sapindales; Anacardiaceae
Exons: 3
Source: RefSeq, a predicted model, not a curated record